CCUCUAAUAGCUUAGUAGUGAAAGCAUUGGUGCAUAAAUCCGAAAGUCUCGGGUUCAAGUCCCGGCGAGGGUG
RNAcentral lists this transfer RNA (73 nucleotides) under Agrilus planipennis (emerald ash borer). It matches the Rfam family "tRNA". From Rfam's summary of the family: Transfer RNA (tRNA) molecules are approximately 80 nucleotides in length. Lineage: Eukaryota; Metazoa; Arthropoda; Insecta; Coleoptera; Buprestidae. The record is from Rfam by way of RNAcentral.